This 484-nucleotide ribosomal RNA is filed under the name uncultured soil bacterium. Its description in RNAcentral is "bacterial SSU rRNA". It matches the Rfam family "Bacterial small subunit ribosomal RNA", at positions 94 to 616 of the family's 1533-position model. The record is from RNAcentral.
AGCGGCAAACGGGUGAGUAACACGUAAGCAAUCUUCCUUCAAGUCCGGAAUAACCCUGCCAACGCGGGGCUAAUACCGAAUGUGGUCCGCGCAUGCAAAGGUGCACUUGGAGAUGAGCUUGCGGCCCAUUAGCUUGUUGGCGGGGUAACGGCCCACCAAGGCUGUGAUGGGUAUCCGGCCUGAGAGGGUGUACGGACACAUUGGGACUGAGAAACGGCCCAGACUCCUUCGGGAGGCAGCAGUAGGGAAUUUUGCGCAAUGGACGAAAGUCUGACGCAGCAACGCCGCGUGAGUGAUGAAGGUCUUCGGAUUGUAAAACUCUGUUGAGUGGGAAGAAUGACGGUACCGCUCGAGGAAGCACCGGCUAACUACGUGCCAGCAGCCGCGGUAAUACGUAGGGUGCAAGCGUUGUUCGGAAUCACUGGGCGUAAAGGGAGCGUAGGCGGAGCCGUAAGUCGGAAGUUUAAUACCCAGGCUUAACCUG